AGCAAUUUGGCGCAGCGGAAGCGCGCCGGGCUCAUAACCCGGAGGUCGCAUGAUCGAAACAUGCAAUUGCUAA
RNAcentral lists this transfer RNA (73 nucleotides) under Pseudogymnoascus destructans. RNAcentral's name for it is "partial tRNA-Met". It matches the Rfam family "tRNA". Rfam says of the family: Transfer RNA (tRNA) molecules are approximately 80 nucleotides in length. Lineage: Eukaryota; Fungi; Ascomycota; Leotiomycetes; Thelebolales; Thelebolaceae. The record is from RNAcentral.